Molecule: long non-coding RNA, 2077 nt
Filed under: Cinara cedri
Lineage: Eukaryota; Metazoa; Arthropoda; Insecta; Hemiptera; Aphididae
Source: RNAcentral
UUUGUUCGAUACAGAUACAAAGUGUAAUAUAAUAGUAUACAUACCCGUUCGUUUGCACACAUUGUUGUUUUUUAUUCAAAUAAAUAUUUAUUUAAAAAAAAUACCAUAUUUUAAAUCGUAUACGAUAAAUAUUGCACCGUUAUAAAGUACUCACAAUAAUUAUUAUAAUAAUAGUAUACAUCUAAAUAUUAUAAUAGUUUGAUCAUCACAUUUCGCCUUUGGACUUGAAACCGAAUACAAGUCAAUGAAUAAGACACGAUAAAAGAAAUGCCACGUUGAAAUUUUUAUACCUUGUAAUCGAGGAGUACCUACCUAAUUUUUUAUUUAUUAUUAUUAUUAUAUAUUUUUUUUUUUGUAUUGCAAUUGAAUAGAUACGUCGCGUCAAUGUAAAAUGGUCGUACACAAAGGUAUACAACAACGCGAAUAUACGAGUGUAUAAUAUUAUAAAGAGUGCCGACAAUAAUAAUAUUGUGAUGAUGUAUGAAUAAAAAAAAAAAAAAAAAUUCUAGUCAUUAAAUAUAAUAAUUCCUCGGCGAAUUUCCGAGUGUAUUAUAUCGUACACAAUUACCGUUAACAUCGGCCUCGGUAAAAUGGUUGAGAAUACUGCUGCACUUCUACGAGUGACGUGUAAGCCGUCUCUGCAUUCGCGUAAAUACGGUACCUACACCUAAUUAAUAAUGCAAUUGAGCGUUUUACACGAAUACAAAAUAUUUGAUGCAUUGUAUUAUGUAGGUACCGACUAUUGUCACGGUUAAAUGGAGUAAAAUAAUUGGCAAAUCUAAUUUCUCGCGCCGCAAACAAUUGUAACAAUAUUAUAUAGGAACGAUUAAUUUAUAUUUUUUAAAAAAAAUAUAUAGGUAUAUGGAAUAAUUUACACAUUUUAAUUACGGCAACCUCGUUCUAUUGUUCAUUAAAAACGACUGUACGUUCGUCAACGGUUCUGGAAGGGUGGAGGAGGUAUAUAAUUCGAUAACGAAUUACCGCCAAAGCGAGUAGAGGAACUAUAAAGAAUUGGUUCCCGAUGAAAAUUACACGGUACCAUUAAACUGUUCGAAUUGGUUCCCUAACGUAGUAAAAAUUGGUUUAAAUAAAAAAGUUAUGGUCUUAUCAUCGCGGAUUAUAAACACGUUUUAUUCAUCACGAGAAAAUCUAAACGGUUCUCGUACCGUCAAAACCUGAUAAACUUGCUAAUCAAUCCAAAUCAAUUCUCUAUAGCUUUUCGAUGUGACUACCGAUUUUUUUUUCCAACGACAGUAACCGCUUUGUACGCAUUUAUUUGAGGUGUUUAUUAGACACCUGUAAUUCUAUGUAAACAAGAGGGAAAUGUAUUUUUGUGAGUUUUUAAUUCUGUUUUUAAUAUUUCACUCGGAAACUAUAAUUAGGAAAUUGAGAGCCAACUAGUAGUAAUGGUCCCAGUCACAGCUCACAAACUUCAAGGUUACAAUGACUCGAACCCGUAAUUCGUGGAAAUGAUGAAAACGUCAUUUAAAACGAUUGUGAAUUAUUGGAAACCGGAAGCGAAGAACCCCUUGUGGGAGGUUCGGUAAACGGUGAUCAAAAUGUGGUUCAAAAGAAUUUGGAAAGUUUAGCAGUGAACGAUUGAAAGAAAUAUUUUUCAGGAUCGGAUAGUGUUAGGAGCGAAAACUCGGAAAACUACUUAAUAGACUUAAAAAAAAAAAAAUGAAAAUGUAUAGAAUAAUAAGAAAAAUUAUUGUUCUUGUUAUAAAAUAUUAAUCGGAAUGAUAACCAUUGAAAGGACUUUGACUUACUGCAUAGCCGUUAUAAUGAACUUCCGAGUAGUUAUGUAGACUAAAUUAUGUACUUAAUUUUCAAAUAAUAACCUACAUAUUAAAACUCUGUAAAUAAUAUUUUCGUUAAUUUUGAAAACAUCGUUUUCUUAAUGUUAUAAUAGUAAUUCACAAUAUGUGGCCAAAAACUGAACACUGUAUAGAUUUGUAUAGAUUAUAAUGCAUUUUCAUUUUUCUACUGUAAAUUCGAAAUUAUAACGUCCAUUCGGAGGUAGGAGUGAAUGAAUAAAAAUAAUAGGUAGGUUAUAAUAAUACAAUAAUAUAAAAUU